This is a long non-coding RNA of Hemibagrus wyckioides, 1336 nucleotides long. RefSeq lists it as uncharacterized. The record is from RefSeq and is a predicted model, not a curated record. Lineage: Eukaryota; Metazoa; Chordata; Actinopteri; Siluriformes; Bagridae. The transcript has 3 exons.
CAGCCAUCCUCUCUAGUUACGGCUGCAGAUACAUCAUGUGGGCAGGUUCAGGGGGAUUGACUUGUGGUAAAUAAUUACCUCGUCUAUUACUGAUCUCCCUCAUCUGCAUAUUCCCGGAAGGAGAAAAAGAAACACAAGGUUGAGAGGACCAUCUUUCCAUCACCUUUACUUUCUAUAUUCUUUCUUCCUAAUUCUCAGGAGAGAAAAGGAGGGCGAAAAGAGAAAAGCAUCUGGUCGUAUGCUUUUUGCUCAACGCUGGUUUUCUUUUUCUUUUACUUAAAAGAGAUUUGUAAAGAGAAUCUAAAAUGUUAAUCUAUUUGGCAUUAUAGUUUUAGAGAUAUUGAAUUCUUUUCAAAUUUUUCAGCACUGACAGAUUGCCCACACAAGAAAAUAUUUAUAUCAAAAACAUGCAUACAGCGUCUUCGCUUUGGUUACGUCAAAUAAAAACACUUCAUGAUGUGCUUAAAGUAAAUGAUGGUGCAAAGGCAUGAUGCUUUCAUAAAGUCAGAAGUCUUACUUAAUAAUAAUGAUCUUUAUGAACAAACAAACAAACAAACAAUAGGUAGACUAAUGAUCCAGAUCAUUCCUUCAUAUUAGUAUUUCUUAUUUUAUGUGGCUUGAGUGCUCAUGUGGAAUUCACAAAUGGAUACUUACACAAGACUUAUGGGUUCACGCAUGGCAGGUUGUGACAGUCAUUCAAAAUAAGGUUAGUUAGCUGUGGAGCUUAUACUUAGUAUAUGACCUACAUAUCCUCAAAUAUUUCCUCAGGUUGAUCCAUGGCCACACAACUAGCAGAAGAAUUUAUAAAAAAAACAUUGUUAAUGGAAAGGUUUGGAUCUAGAGUGAAGUCAUAAACACAUGCAGUCUGUCCCCAUGUUCAGCCUUGCUUGAGCCAACACUGGUUAAAAAUGUAAAUGAUUUUAACGUAAAUAUAGUUAUGGCAGAGAAGAAAGAAAGAGAGAAGGACGAAAUCACACUAAACACCGCUUUAUUCAAAGUGUCUAAAGAAACAGCAUUGGUUUAAUAUUUCUAGCUCACAGAAUGAAAUUACUCAUGUAGAGCUCGUAGUGUGCCCUCGGAGAUUUCUGAUGCUGUAGACUGUAAUGUUUUUGAUGGUCUUAUGGUUAGAACUGAAGUCAAUGGAUACUUGUGUGACUUUUUUCUAUUAUCCAUACAUGAUAUUCUAAUAUCAAUUUCAGACCAUAAAUAAUGUGACAAGUUUGAAAGGAAACUGUGGUAAAUGAUUGGGUGAAAGUUUGCUAGUUAUUAUGCUUGAUAUGACCUGGUAACUAUGUGCAUCCAAAUAAUAUGACAGACCUACAAGAGGUUUCUGUGG